AAUUGAUCUCCCUGUGCAAGCAGGGAUAACUCCAUAAGACGAGAAGACCCUGUGGAACUUCAAAAUCAGCUGCCACCCCAAAAUACAUACACACCCACCGGGUUCACUUACACGUAAGCCACUGGCACGCAUUUUUUCGGUUGGGGCGACCUUGGAGAAAAACAAAUCCUCCAAAAAUUGGACCAUCACUCUAGACUAAGAGCAACCCCUCAAAGUGCUAACAGCAACCAGACCCAAUACAAUUGAUCAAUGGACCAAGCUACCCCAGGGAUAACAGCGCAAUCUCCUCCAAGAGUCCAUAUCGACAAUAGGA
This 313-nucleotide ribosomal RNA is filed under the name Irania gutturalis (White-throated robin). RNAcentral's name for it is "partial large subunit ribosomal RNA". The record is from RNAcentral. Lineage: Eukaryota; Metazoa; Chordata; Aves; Passeriformes; Muscicapidae.